Molecule: ribosomal RNA, 482 nt
Filed under: uncultured bacterium
Lineage: Bacteria
Description: bacterial SSU rRNA
Rfam family: Bacterial small subunit ribosomal RNA
Source: RNAcentral
GAUGAACGCUGGCGGCGCGCUUAACACAUGCAAGUCGAACGAGAAAUUUCACUUUGAUCCUUCGGGUGAAAAGUGAAAUGGAAAGUGGCGGACGGGUGAGUAACGCGUGGGUAACCUACCUUGUACAGGGGGAUAACAAUCUGAAAAGAUUGCUAAUACCGCAUAAGACUACAGUAUCGCAUGAUGAAGUAGUAAAAGCUCCGACGGUACAAGAUGGACCCGCGUCUGAUUAGCUAGUAGGUAAGGUAAUGGCUUACCUAGGCGACGAUCAGUAGCCGGCCUGAGAGGGUGAACGGCCACAUUGGAACUGAGACACGGUCCAAACUCCUACGGGAGGCAGCAGUGGGGAAUAUUGCACAAUGGGGGAAACCCUGAUGCAGCGACGCCGCGUGAAGGAAGAAGGGUUUUCGGAUCGUAAACUUCUAUCAGCAGGGAAGAAUAAAUGACAGUACCUGACUAAGAAGCCCCCGGCUAACUACGUG